This 305-nucleotide ribosomal RNA is filed under the name uncultured bacterium. RNAcentral describes it as "bacterial SSU rRNA". It matches the Rfam family "Bacterial small subunit ribosomal RNA", at positions 337 to 635 of the family's 1533-position model. The record is from RNAcentral.
UCCUACGGGGGGCAGCAGUAGGGAAUUUUCGUCAAUGGGCGCAAGCCUGAACGAGCAAUGCCGCGUGAACGAGGAAGGUCUUCGGAUCGUAAAGUUCUGUUGAAGGGGAAAAAGAGCGGAGAGAGGAAAUGGUCUCCGAUUGAUAUUACCCUUCGAGGAAGUCACGGCUAACUACGUGCCAGCAGCCGCGGUAAUACGUAGGUGGCGAGCGUUAUCUGGAAUGAUUGGGCGUAAAGGGUGCGUAGGCGGCCUGCUAAGUCUGGAGUGAAAGGAACCGGCUCAACCGGUACAGGCUCUGGAAACUG